AUGGAGCCUCUCAAGCGUUUGACUUGUGUGAGGGAAGAAAAUGGCAACCGUGGGCACGAGUUUGUGAAAUGUUUGAGCAAGCCACAGCCGGGGCAGGUUCUGAAGAAAUGUGGGCAUUUUGAGUGGCUCGAUGACUAUGUUGAAAGGUUGAAAUUGGAGGGAUCAACCCCAACCCAAGAGCUCAAUUUUGGGGGCGGCUUGCCGUGGAACAAGCCCCCAAUUUGGUGGACAGAGCCAAUCCGAUGA
RNAcentral lists this ribosomal RNA (246 nucleotides) under Triticum aestivum (bread wheat). Its description in RNAcentral is "partial small subunit ribosomal RNA". Lineage: Eukaryota; Viridiplantae; Streptophyta; Magnoliopsida; Poales; Poaceae. The record is from RNAcentral.